CAGAGGUGGCAAGCGUUGUUCGGAAUUACUGGGCGUAAAGGGCGAGUAGGUGGCCAUCUAAGUCAGACGUGAAAUCCCCCGGCUUAACCUGGGAACUGCGUCUGAUACUGGACGGCUAGAGUAUGGGAGAGGAAUGUAGAAUUCCAGGUGUAGCGGUGAAAUGCGUAGAUAUCUGGAGGAAUACCGGUGGCGAAGGCGGCAUUCUGGACCAUUACUGACACUGAAUCGCGAAAGCUAGGGGAGCAAACGGGAUUAGAUACCCCGGUAGUCCUAGCCCUAAACGAUGAAUGCUUGGUGUGGCGGGUAUCGAUCCCUGCCGUGCCGAAGCUAACGCAUUAAGCAUUCCGCCUGGGGAGUACGGUCGCAAGGCUG
This 372-nucleotide ribosomal RNA is filed under the name uncultured organism. RNAcentral's name for it is "bacterial SSU rRNA". It matches the Rfam family "Bacterial small subunit ribosomal RNA", at positions 526 to 896 of the family's 1533-position model. The record is from RNAcentral.